RNAcentral lists this long non-coding RNA (378 nucleotides) under Pan troglodytes (chimpanzee). Its description in RNAcentral is "lincRNA". Lineage: Eukaryota; Metazoa; Chordata; Mammalia; Primates; Hominidae. The record is from RNAcentral.
GCGCCUCUCCCGCCACACCUGCCUGCAAGCUGAGGGAGCCGGCUCCGGCCUUGGCCAGGCUAGAAAGGGGCUCCCACAGUGCAGGGGCGGGCUGAAGGGCUCCUCAAGUGCCGCCAAAGUGGGAGCCCAGGCAGAGGAGGUGCCGAGAGCGAGCGAGGGCUGCGAGGACUGCCAGCAGCUGUCACCUCUCGUUACCAUCACUCCUAGUGACCAUUUUGGAUAAUCCACCUUGCCUCAUCAAACCAGAAAACAAUUCAAACCUGUCCUCCUUCUAACUGGAAGCCACAUUUUAAGAACUUAUUGUGAAGAACUGGAAAGCCUCCAAUAGAACAGAAGCUAAAAGCAGAAAUUAUAAAAGCUGUUACACCUACUCAGCUC